AGCGGUGACCUUCCCGGCGCUGAUUGGCAGCGGGCGAGUGACGUGCGCGCUGGCGGCUGGCGAGGGGGCGCGGUGGGCCCCGGAGCGGAGGGACGGCGAGGCCCGCCUUGGCAUCUGGAGUUGGGAGAGGGCCCUCGCGGUGGGUCUUUGACGUCGGUAGACUUUGGCGCCCGCAGAAAGGACAUUGUGUCUGAUGAAAUAAAGCAGGCAGAGUGCUUUGUAACCGGAAAGUGCCUUAGAAAAGACUUCUUAAUACAUUCUGGAUACGAGUUCUUGAUCAAAUAUAUCCCACAGUGGUGGAGGCCGUAUGAUGGUAUAUAACCAUCAGAGACAAGCAGCUCCUGCUACCUGGUAGAGAUGGAACACCUGACCACAGGACAUCAAGUGACCAUGUGAAUAAUAAAACCGCCCAUCGUGAACUGGUGUUAUCUGGUUCGCCAAAUCAUACAGUUGGACAAGCACAGCAGCAGCCCAUCCCCGUAAGACUGGGGACACGGCCACAAGUCAACCAGAUGCAGAUGAGAGUAUAACUGAAUUGACACCACCCCAUGAUGACUUCGUAGCUGAUGGGAGGAGACUGUAUGGUGGAAAAGAGUGAGGUGAGCAUAUAUAUUCCCCCUGGCUCCCUCCUGUAGAGGUUGCCUUGAACUGGAUGUGUACCUUGACCAAAGCUCAUUGCCUCUCUCAUGUGAACUCUUCACAAUUCUUUUCCUUCCAGAUUUUGGUUAACUCCUUCCUCUUCUUCUUCUUCCUCUUGGGGCUUAAGAGAGGUACAGUUCCCCUGCAGUUAGCCCUGGGUUACAAGGAUACAAGGAUAGUUACACACAUUAGUAAUUAGUCCCUCCGUAAGUAAACCUUCCUUAAAUGAUCCUGUUUGUUCUUUGUUUCCUGUUAGGACUCCUGACACAUGACCUUUUUAUCUCUUGUAUUAUUUCCUGCCUAAAAUCUACUUGUAUAUUAGCAUAGCCACAGUCUUUUUCUGUUAGUUUUUGUGUAUCUUUUCACUUCAAACUUUUCUGCAUUUUAAUAUUUAAGAUUUGUCUCUUGAAAACAGGUUAAAGGUGUAUCUUUAUAAAUCCAAGGUGAUUUGUCUUUGUCUUUCAGUUGGGAUAAUCAGUUCAUAUUUAAGGUAAUUACUAAUAUAUAGGGCUCUAAAGCUGCCGUCCUACUGUUUGUCUCACGUGUUCUUCACUCUUUUUCCUCUAGUUUCUUUGGGAUAAAUCAGGCUUUUUUAUUCCAUACUUUUACUUUUGAUUGGCUUUUUAGUUAUAUGUUCUUUUACUAUUCUUUAAUUACUCUAGAAAUUAGAAUGUGCAUCCUUCACAUCUAAAAGUCCAGUGUACAUUAGCACUGUAUCCACUUCUUGGACAAUGUGAACACCUUAGACUACUUCAU
Vicugna pacos (alpaca) is the source of this 1395-nucleotide non-coding RNA. The record is from RefSeq and is a predicted model, not a curated record. Lineage: Eukaryota; Metazoa; Chordata; Mammalia; Artiodactyla; Camelidae.